RNAcentral lists this ribosomal RNA (497 nucleotides) under uncultured bacterium. RNAcentral describes it as "partial 16S ribosomal RNA". It matches the Rfam family "Bacterial small subunit ribosomal RNA", at positions 28 to 507 of the family's 1533-position model. The record is from RNAcentral.
GAUGAACGCUGGCGGCGUGCUUAACACAUGCAAGUCGAACGGAAAGACCACGAGCUUGCCCGUCUGACGUUAGACGCGGGCGUGAGAGAAACGCGCGUAUCACCUACUUAUAGGUCUGUGAUCACUACGGUAAACCGGAGCUAAUACGGUAUAAUAUAUUGAACCGCAUAGUUCCAUGGCUAAAGACGGUUUUGCUGUCGCUUAUAGAUGGAUCGGCGCCUCAUUAGAUAGUUGGUAAGGUAACGGCUUACCAAGGCAACGAUGCGUAGCCGACCUGAGAGGGGGACCGGCCACACUGGAACUGAGACACGGUCCAGACUCCUACGGGAGGCAGCAGUGGGGAAUUUUGGACAACGGGCGAAAGCCUGACGCAGCAACGCCGCGUGCAUGAUGAAGGCCUUCGGGUCGUAAAAUGCUUUUGUAAGGGAAGAACAGAUGUCUACUAAAACAGGCGGGUCUUGACGGUACCGUAUCAAAAAGCACCGGCUAACUACGUG